Molecule: non-coding RNA, 567 nt
Organism: Cinara cedri
Lineage: Eukaryota; Metazoa; Arthropoda; Insecta; Hemiptera; Aphididae
Source: the annotation of a GenBank genome assembly
GACUCGCCGGCGCGUCCGGCUUCGCACGCAGUGACGCAUUGAUUUUUAUUGUCGUUCUGAAUGUUAUCGGGAACGGGUGAACUUAACGGAUUGUCACUGUAAUACGUUAUUUUUAAAAAAAUGAUACGUUCACGGAGCGCGGGCACAGUGACAUUAAAACGACAAUCGGACUUUUACCGAUAUUAUUACGGGUUUUCGUCGAUACCUCUAAAUCGCGUACAGCCUAAAAUAGUUAACAAUGUCCAGUAUACGACGCGAAAUUAACAUAACGACAAUAUUGAAUUAUAACGAUUAAUACGUGUAUAACGCUAUUGGUAAUAUAAUUAAUUAACGUAACAAAAUAGAUAAACCGUUGAAAUCGAAACAAAUAAAAAAAUAUUAUAUUUUGUACGUAUACAAACGGGACAGUAUUAUAAUAUUAUGUAUUGUCAAUUAUUAAUAUUAUCAACUAACCGAACUACGGUAUUACAAACGAAUCUCACUUUUAAUUAUCAUUAUUGUCAUAAAAUUGCGUAGUAUUGAUUUACCGACUUAUGUAUCCAGUAUCAGUACAUUUGGUCACAUAAA